RNAcentral lists this long non-coding RNA (300 nucleotides) under Helianthus annuus (common sunflower). RNAcentral's name for it is "sRNA HanXRQr2_Chr16g0729181". Lineage: Eukaryota; Viridiplantae; Streptophyta; Magnoliopsida; Asterales; Asteraceae. The record is from RNAcentral.
UGCAACUGUAUGAUUUUACAUGCGUGAACAUUCUAUAUGAUAUCAUCAUGUACACAAUAAACACACAAGACACAACUGCUUGAAUGACAACGAUUUGCAAACCCUAUUUGAUGCAAACACUUACACCGUAUCAUGUGCAACACAUCCUAGGUCGUGUGUUACGGACUUAGAGAUUUAUAAACCCCAGAAGCAAUAACAUACCGAGCAAACCAAGGUGAGUUCACACAGCCAAGGCAUGGGGUUCCCAGGGUGGGAAUGGGAUAGAUUACUUACUGGACAUUAGGUACAUAUGGAGCUUGC